AUGAAGCAUGCCUUGCGACGUGCCGGCGUGGAUGACCCCAUGUCAAUGAAGUUCCACUUCAUGAUGGGAUUGAACAACGACAUCUCCAAGCCUAUCUUCCUCGAGAACUACAGGUCCCUCGACGACAACUACAUUGGUUCUCUCAAGGCGGAACAAGAACUCAUGAAGGCCAAGGUUCUCCAUCCCAAGCUCACUUCUCAAAGACCAAGCUCCAACAUGGCGAUCAAGGAUGAUGCUCCCAUCUUAGGAGGCGAAAGUGAUGAUGUGCCAUCUUCGGCCUUCAUCCAUCGCGACGGCGAUGAGAUGGUUGAGUAUGUCACCUCGACCACGGCGACGCAUGAUGACUUGAGUGACUUUUGCCACCAUAUUGAGUGUGAGAGUGACUUCACCACUAGCCCCAUAUAUGAUGUGUUUCCACAAUUCCCAUGUGAGGAGAGCCACAACCCCCACCUCUUGAGUGAGAAGAGUGACUCCACCAUAUGUGAGUUUGAGUGCACCUAUUGUGAGGGAGUGAGUGAACCACCACAUAGAGAGAGUGAGGUAGUUGAUAGGGCAUGUGAGGCCACUAUGAUUUCUAAUGACUUGACCUCUACCUCUAUUGUGUCUUCUCAUUUAGUUCUAGGUCCCUUGUAUGAUGAUGCGCCGAUUCUCGACGACUUCGUCCUACCUUUGGACAAGACGAUGGCCAUGGUGGAAUGUGAUGCACCCCCCACAUGGUUCCAUCAAGAUGAAGAUGACCACCAUUUGGUCUUUCCCACCUCACCUACACCACAUGAGUGGAAUGACAAAGGUAACAUAGGUGAAGGUGAUGCUCUAGUCCCACUAGUGGACAUUCUUGACGUUGAUUGCUUGCAUGAUGUUGAUCAACCUAUUUCCAUGCUUCAUGCUAGUGUGACUUCCCCAUGCGAUGAUUUACCCAUUUAUGUUGAGUAUGAUGAUUUCCAUGUGGAGUCUAUUUGUUGUGAUGCCAUGUUACAUAGGAUUUCUUGUGCUAAUUCUCUCAGUCACAUCAUGUUUGCCAAUCCGCUUGACUUGUCAUAUGCUAUGCAUGAGAUCGACCACAUGUCAUAUUUGCAAUAUCUUCAUAGUGACUAUGCAUAUGCCAUUCAGAUUAACCCAAUUUGCACUUAUGGCAUAGAUGACAAGCCCAUGGUUAUUGGCAUUUGUUUUUCUUGUGAUGAUAUUUGA
RNAcentral lists this ribosomal RNA (1188 nucleotides) under Triticum aestivum (bread wheat). RNAcentral describes it as "partial small subunit ribosomal RNA". Lineage: Eukaryota; Viridiplantae; Streptophyta; Magnoliopsida; Poales; Poaceae. The record is from RNAcentral.